Molecule: ribosomal RNA, 297 nt
Filed under: Triticum aestivum (bread wheat)
Lineage: Eukaryota; Viridiplantae; Streptophyta; Magnoliopsida; Poales; Poaceae
Description: partial small subunit ribosomal RNA
Source: RNAcentral
AUGGGCCCUGGCUGCGCCUGGGGGUGCUCCGAGGAGAGCACAACCCGCCAGGGCGCGCCAGGAGGCCCGGGCGCGCCCUGGUGGGUUGUGCCCGCCUCGGGUGCCCCCCGGACCACCUCUUUGCUCGACUUUGUCUACCCACUACUCUUUUAGGAAUAUAUUUAUGCAUUUGCCCACCAUUAUGGAUUAAAUGGUUCUGAACUUGUGGAAAUAGGUUUUAGUUGUAAUAACAAGAAAUUUAGUUCACCACUUGUGAAACAUUUAAUUAUAAGUACCCCAAUAUUCCAGAAACCCUAG